GUGAGGAAUAUUGGUCAAUGGGCGAGAGCCUGAACCAGCCAAGUCGCGUGAAGGAAGAAGGAUCUAUGGUUCGUAAACUUCUUUUGCAGGGGAAUAAAGUGCAGGACGUGUCCUGUUUUGUAUGUACCCUGAGAAUAAGGAUCGGCUAACUCCGUGCCAGCAGCCGCGGUAAUACGGAGGAUCCGAGCGUUAUCCGGAUUUAUUGGGUUUAAAGGGUGCGUAGGUGGUUUGAUAAGUCAGCGGUGAAAGUUUGCAGCUUAACUGUAAAAAUGCCGUUGAAACUGUCGGACUUGAGUGUAAAUGAGGUAGGCGGAAUGCGUGGUGUAGCGGUGAAAUGCAUAGAUAUCACGCAGAACUCCGAUUGCGAAGGCAGCUUACUAAGCUACAACUGACACUGAAGCACGAAGGCGUGGGGAUCAAACAGGAUUAGAAACCCCGGUAGUCC
This 445-nucleotide ribosomal RNA is filed under the name uncultured bacterium. Its description in RNAcentral is "partial 16S ribosomal RNA". It matches the Rfam family "Bacterial small subunit ribosomal RNA", at positions 354 to 796 of the family's 1533-position model. The record is from RNAcentral.